GAUGAACGCUAGCGGCAGGCUUAAUACAUGCAAGUCGAGGGGCAGCACAUGAGUAGCAAUACGAUGGUGGCGACCGGCGCACGGGUGCGUAACGCGUAUGCAAUCUACCUUUAACAGAGGGAUAGCCCCGAGAAAUCGGGAUUAAUACCUCAUAAAAUUUUCACAUGGCAUCAUGAGAGAAUCAAAGCUGAGGCGGUUAAAGAUGAGCAUGCGUGACAUUAGCUAGUUGGAGAGGUAACGGCUCACCAAGGCGACGAUGUCUAGGGGUUCUGAGAGGAUGAUCCCCCACACUGGUACUGAGACACGGACCAGACUCCUACGGGAGGCAGCAGUAAGGAAUAUUGGUCAAUGGGCGGGAGCCUGAACCAGCCAUGCCGCGUGCAGGAAGACGGCCUUAUGGGUUGUAAACUGCUUUUAUCGGGGAAUAAAACUUUCUACGCGUAGAGAGCUGAAGGUACCCGAAGAAUAAGCAUCGGCUAA
RNAcentral lists this ribosomal RNA (480 nucleotides) under uncultured bacterium. Its description in RNAcentral is "bacterial SSU rRNA". It matches the Rfam family "Bacterial small subunit ribosomal RNA", at positions 28 to 500 of the family's 1533-position model. The record is from RNAcentral.